GACGAACGCUGGCGGCGUGCCUAACACAUGCAAGUUGAGCGACGAACCAGGGCUUGCCCUGGGGCAAAGCAGCGAACGGGUGAGUAACACGUGGGUAACCUACCCCGAUAACCGGGACAACCCGAGGAAACUCGGGCUAAUACCGGAUGUGCUCACUGGACUUCGGUUCAGUGCGUAAAGGAAGCUUCGGCCUCCGUAUCGGGAGGGGCCCGCGGCCCAUUAGUUUGUUGGUGAGGUAACGGCUCACCAAGACCGCGAUGGGUAGCUGGUCUGAGAGGACGAUCAGCCACACUGGGACUGAGACACGGCCCAGACUCCUACGGGAGGCAGCAGUGGGGAAUCUUGCGCAAUGCGCGAAAGCGUGACGCAGCAACGCCGCGUGGGGGAAGAAGGCCUUCGGGUUUUAAACCCCUUUCAGGAGGGACGAAGGUUCGGCGGUGAAUAGCCGUCCGGACUGACGGUACCUCCACAAGAAGCCCCGGCUAACUACGUG
Molecule: ribosomal RNA, 493 nt
Filed under: uncultured bacterium
Lineage: Bacteria
Description: partial 16S ribosomal RNA
Rfam family: Bacterial small subunit ribosomal RNA
Source: RNAcentral